CUGGGCUGAGCCCGCGGGGCCCCGGGCCCCUGCGAACCAUUCUGGGCGGGGCGGGAGGCGAAGGCGGCCCUGGUCCGCGCUCGCCGGGUGAGUUCGUGGCGCAGGCCUAGGCGGGACCCGUACCCCACGUUUGGGGCCUCCGCAGUAUGCGGACGCCACGUCGGCGUUGUCACUGACCCGGCCGGAACCCAGCCUUGAGAAGCGCGAGCUGUGGGGGCCACGUCUCGCGGCGGGGUACGACCAGGGUGACCGGGUAGAGAGGGAUAGAGUCACCAAAGUUUGGCAAGGUAUAAACCUAUCCAUGAGAAAGACUACAUUCUCCCAGCCACUCUUACAGCUGUAGGCAACACUCAUUCACAGAGGUGGAGCACCAGCAUGACUAAGCACAGGCAAAGAGCACAGGAGUUGGAGCUAAAGGAGUAGAUCCAAUAAUGAGACAGGUUUGUUUUUCUCUUAGACAGUCACUCAUGUUGUUAAAGCCACACUUGGGUUCUUUUUAUUCCUUGACUGUAACAAUCCCAUCUCCACCUUUGGGCCUUUGGAUUUGCUGUUUCCUCAUCGAUGUGAGAAGGGUAAUGCUUUUGAGAAAUCAGUGCAUUGAGAAAGAGAACAAAGAACCAGGUAAAUAAAGCAGGCUCUCCCGCUUUUCCAUGCCUGUGUACUUUCCCUCUGAGGUUCAGAGGCUUGAUCCUAUCUGAAAUGACCUCUUUACUAUCCUGUGCACCUAUCCAGAUCUUCUCCACCCUGAAGGUCCAGCCCAGGCUUCCACUACAUCCAUGUCCAUGCCAUCCCUGACCCUUGCCAUCCAAAGACCAUUUUACAAAAAUCAUCAUAGACCACCAGAGGCAGUCUGGUUCUGGGUAAAUUCUCCUUUAAGGUGUGAGUGCGGGUCUUCUAGACUUGAUGCCAAAUUCUUUGAAGAUGAUUCCCUACCUUGGUUGCAUAUUGGAAUCACCCAGGAGCUUUCAGAAAUGUUUUAUCUGUGUCCCACCCCCGAGAUUCUGAUUUAAUGGGUCUGGGUGUAUGUCCAGGGCAUCAGAAUCUUUCCAGCUUCCUCAGGUAAUUCUAUCGUGCAAACAUUUUAAGAACCAUCAGCUUUCCUGCGAGGACUCUCUCUCUGCAGGUAGUUUAAAUUAUUAUGGAUUCUUGAUUAGUUUAUAAAAUAAAGAAAAGGGAACAUGCUACUGCUUGUCGAAGGCUGCUGAAGCUUCAAGCCCGAAGUGCACAGAUUUGAUCUGUAGGGUCCUUUAGAUUCUUGCUUCUCAAAAUGUGGUCCAUGGGUCAGUAGAACAUCAUUACAAGGAGCCUAUUAGAGGUGUAAAAACUCAAGCCGCGUCCCCCCCACCCCCAGUCUUGAGAACUGUGGAACUUUCAGUACAAAUGAUUUUGUCCAGCCCCCAAUUUAGGAGACCUGAACAAAACUAUGUUUCCUAGCAUAGUUUUUAGCACUCAAGGUUGUUUCUUGGGGAGACCCAGCCCCCUAAGUCCUUGCCUGGGGAAGCUCAAGGCUGUCCAAAGAAUUUACCCAUUGCUCCAGCCAAACAUCUGA
Long non-coding RNA from Capra hircus (goat), 1549 nucleotides. RefSeq lists it as uncharacterized. The record is from RefSeq and is a predicted model, not a curated record. NCBI's taxonomy places the organism in Eukaryota, Metazoa, Chordata, Mammalia, Artiodactyla, Bovidae. The transcript is spliced from 3 exons.